GAGCAGCACUGAUAGAUGGAGAUGAAGAAAAUGGUCCCUUCUGUUUGAAUAUGCUGAGUUUGAGAUGAAGAGCUGGUUAAUUAUCAAUUUUUGUGAGAAAGGAAGGCUGUCCUCAUCUUUUGAAAGUCCUCCGAGCACAGCAGGCUAUGCAUGGUACGCCUCCAGUUUGUGAAAACAUCGGCAUCUGGAUGAACCCGACGAGUCAUCUGUGCCUUCUGCAUUGUGUCUCUGUGUGCCCUAAAACAGCACAAGCCAGCCACAAAUGAGUUCCUCUGCUCUGCCGCACACUCUUGCUGUGACCGGCAGCUUCUCCACAGACCUAAAGCCAAUAGGGCCAACCAUCCAUGACUGAAAUCUCCAAAACUGUGAGCCAAUGUCAUCCUUUUCUCUUUAUAAACUGAACAUGUUCAGGUUUCAUCCCAUAGGACUUGGAAGACAGAACAGAGCAGAAGUCCCCUUUGACAACUUUUGGCUACUUUCUGCUGAGGGCUGAGGCCCCCAGCCUCCUGGUAUCCAGGGCACUGGCAGGAGUGGCAGCUGCACCUUCCAGUCCCCAGGAUCUCAGUUGUGAUGGUUCAUUCUAGAACUGAGGGGCUCAAGAGAUCCCUGCAUGGGCUGAAGGAGCAGGCUCCAGGCUGGGCUUUGGAGAUCAAGUCCCAGAACUCCACCACUGCUCAUUUCUUCUGCGAAGCUGCUCCCUCUGCCAUGGUCAGUAGGUAUGGGAGAGCAGGAGCUGUCAUUGGGCUUGCUGAAUUCACAGCUACAACCAAGGAUGGAAAAGCUACUACCAAACACCCACGAAGAUACUGGCCAGACCCACAUCCCUGCUGAUGAGCUUGUGCCACAUUUCUAG
Molecule: long non-coding RNA, 853 nt
Filed under: Heterocephalus glaber (naked mole-rat)
Lineage: Eukaryota; Metazoa; Chordata; Mammalia; Rodentia; Bathyergidae
Description: lncRNA (ENSHGLG00100036402.1)
Source: RNAcentral